GCAAGUCGAACGGUAACAUUUCUAGCUUGCUAGAAGAUGACGAGUGGCGGAGGGUGAGUAAUGCUGGGGAAUUUGCCUUGAGGUGGGGGAUAACAGGUGGAAACGACUGUUAAUACCGCAGAUUAGCUACGGCUAAAAGGGGGCUUCGGCUCUCGCCUUUAGAGAAGCCCAAGUGGGAUUAGAUAGUUGGUGAGGUAAAGGCUCACCAAGUCAGCGAUCCCUAGCUGGUCUGAGAGGAUGAUC
This 243-nucleotide ribosomal RNA is filed under the name uncultured bacterium. Its description in RNAcentral is "partial 16S ribosomal RNA". It matches the Rfam family "Bacterial small subunit ribosomal RNA", at positions 57 to 305 of the family's 1533-position model. The record is from RNAcentral.